This 253-nucleotide ribosomal RNA is filed under the name uncultured bacterium. RNAcentral describes it as "partial 16S ribosomal RNA". It matches the Rfam family "Bacterial small subunit ribosomal RNA", at positions 524 to 776 of the family's 1533-position model. The record is from RNAcentral.
UACGAAGGGGGCUAGCGUUGCUCGGAAUCACUGGGCGUAAAGCGCACGUAGGCGGCUUUCUAAGUCAGGGGUGAAAUCCUGGAGCUCAACUCCAGAACUGCCCUUGAUACUGGAGAGCUUGAGUUCGGGAGAGGUGAGUGGAACUGCGAGUGUAGAGGUGAAAUUCGUAGAUAUUCGCAAGAACACCAGUGGCGAAGGCGGCUCACUGGCCCGGUACUGACGCUGAGGCACGAAAGCGUGGGGAGCAAACAGG